UACGUAGGGUGCGAGCGUUGUCCGGAAUUAUUGGGCGUAAAGGAGCUCGUAGGCGGUUUGUCGCGUCGGGAGGUGAAAACACAGGGGCGUUAACCCCCGGUGCCCUGCUUCCGAUACGGGCAGACUAGAGGUAUGCAGGGGAGAACGGAAUUCCUGGUGUAGCGGUGAAAUGCGCAGAUAUCAGGAGGAACACCGGUGGCGAAGGCGGUUCUCUGGGCAUUACCUGACGCUGAGGAGCGAAAGUGUGGGGAGCGAACAGG
RNAcentral lists this ribosomal RNA (260 nucleotides) under uncultured bacterium. Its description in RNAcentral is "partial 16S ribosomal RNA". It matches the Rfam family "Bacterial small subunit ribosomal RNA", at positions 524 to 776 of the family's 1533-position model. The record is from RNAcentral.